RNAcentral lists this ribosomal RNA (250 nucleotides) under uncultured Treponema sp. RNAcentral describes it as "partial 16S ribosomal RNA". It matches the Rfam family "Bacterial small subunit ribosomal RNA", at positions 95 to 339 of the family's 1533-position model. Lineage: Bacteria; Pseudomonadati; Spirochaetota; Spirochaetia; Treponematales; Treponemataceae. The record is from RNAcentral.
GUGGCGGACUGGUGAGGAACACGUGGGUAAUCUACCCUUAAGUUGGGGAUAGCUGCUAGAAAUAGCAGAUAAUACCGAAUACACUCAAAUUUUCACAAGAAGAAUCGAGGAAAGAGGCUACGGCCUCGCUUAAGGAUGGGCCUGCGUCCCAUUAGCUAGUUGGUGAGGUAACGGCCCACCAAGGCGACGAUGGGUAUCCGGCCUGAGAGGGUGAACGGACACAUUGGGACUGAGAUACGGCCCAAACUCC